AGAGCGAACGCUGGCGGCAGGCUUAACACAUGCAAGUCGAGCGCCCCGCAAGGGGAGCGGCAGACGGGAGAGUAACACGUGGGAACGUACCUUUCGGUUCGGAACAACCCAGGGAAACUUGGGCUAAUACCGGAUACGUCCGUAAGGAGAAAGAUUUAUCGCCGAAAGAUCGGCCCGCGUCUGAUUAGCUAGUUGGUGAGGUAACGGCUCACCAAGGCGACGAUCAGUAGCUGGUCUGAGAGGAUGAUCAGCCUCACUGGGACUGAGACACGGCCCAGACUCCUACGGGAGGCAGCAGUGGGGAAUAUUGGACAAUGGGCGCAAGCCUGAUCCAGCCAUGCCGCGUGGGUGAUGAAGGCCCUAGGGUUGUAAAGCCCUUUCGGCGGGAAGAUAAUGACGGUACCCGCAGAAGAAGCCCCGGCUAACUUCGCGCAGCAGCCGC
Molecule: ribosomal RNA, 442 nt
Filed under: uncultured bacterium
Lineage: Bacteria
Description: SSU rRNA
Rfam family: Bacterial small subunit ribosomal RNA
Source: RNAcentral